RNAcentral lists this ribosomal RNA (497 nucleotides) under uncultured bacterium. RNAcentral's name for it is "partial 16S ribosomal RNA". It matches the Rfam family "Bacterial small subunit ribosomal RNA", at positions 28 to 507 of the family's 1533-position model. The record is from RNAcentral.
GAUGAACGCUGGCGGCGUGCCUAAUACAUGCAAGUCGAGCGAACAGACGAGGAGCUUGCUCCUCUGACGUUAGCGGCGGACGGGUGAGUAACACGUGGAUAACCUACCUAUAAGACUGGGAUAACUUCGGGAAACCGGAGCUAAUACCGGAUAAUAUAUUGAACCGCAUGGUUCAAUAGUGAAAGACGGUUUUGCUGUCACUUAUAGAUGGAUCCGCGCCGCAUUAGCUAGUUGGUAAGGUAACGGCUUACCAAGGCGACGAUGCGUAGCCGACCUGAGAGGGUGAUCGGCCACACUGGAACUGAGACACGGUCCAGACUCCUACGGGAGGCAGCAGUAGGGAAUCUUCCGAAAUGGGCGAAAGCCUGACGGAGCAACGCCGCGGGAGUGAUGAAGGUCUUCGGAUCGUAAAACUCUGUUAUUAGGGAAGAACAAAUGUGUAAGUAACUAUGCACGUCUUGACGGUACCUAAUCAGAAAGCCACGGCUAACUACGUG